Molecule: ribosomal RNA, 501 nt
Filed under: uncultured bacterium
Lineage: Bacteria
Description: partial 16S ribosomal RNA
Rfam family: Bacterial small subunit ribosomal RNA
Source: RNAcentral
GACGAACGCUGGCGGCGUGCCUAAUACAUGCAAGUCGAGCGGACCGGAUUGGGGCUUGCCUUGAUUCGGUCAGCGGCGGACGGGUGAGUAACACGUGGGCAACCUGCCCGCAAGACCGGGAUAACUCCGGGAAACCGGAGCUAAUACCGGAUAACACCGAAGACCGCAUGGUCUUCGGUUGAAAGGCGGCCUUUGGGCUGUCACUUGCGGAUGGGCCCGCGGCGCAUUAGCUAGUUGGUGAGGUAACGGCUCACCAAGGCGACGAUGCGUAGCCGGCCUGAGAGGGUGACCGGCCACACUGGGACUGAGACACGGCCCAGACGCCUACGGGAGGCAGCAGUAGGGAAUCUUCCGCAAGGGGCGAAAGCCUGACGGAGCGACGCCGCGUGAGCGAAGAAGGCCUUCGGGUCGUAAAGCUCUGUUGUGAGGGACGAAGGAGUGUCGUUCGAAGAGGGCGGCGCGGUGACGGUACCUCACGAGAAAGCCCCGGCUAACUACGUG